GAGUCUUAAUUGGGCGUUAAGUUGCAGGGUAUAGACCCGAAACCCGGUGAUCUAGCCAUGGGCAGGUUGAAGGUUGGGUAACACUAACUGGAGGACCGAACCGACUAAUGUUGAAAAAUUAGCGGAUGACCUGUGGCUGGGGGUGAAAGGCCAAUCAAACCGGGAGAUAGCUGGUUCUCCCCGAAAGCUAUUUAGGUAGCGCCUCGUGAAUUCAUCUCCGGGGGUAGAGCACUGUUUCGGCUAGGGGGCCAUCCCGGCUUACCAACCCGAUGCAAACUGCGAAUACCGGAGAAUGUUAUCACGGGAGACACACGGCGGGUGCUAACGUCCGUCGUGAAGAGGGAAACAACCCAGACCGCCAGCUAAGGUCCCAAAGUCAUGGUUAAGUGGGAAACGAUGUGGGAAGGCCCAGACAGCCAGGAUGUUGGCUUAGAAGCAGCCAUCAUUUAAAGAAAGCGUAAUAGCUCACUGGUCGAGUCGGCCUGCGCGGAAGAUGUAACGGGGCUAAACCAUGCACCGAAGCUGCGGCAGCGACGCUUAUGCGUUGUUGGGUAGGGGAGCGUUCUGUAAGCCUGCGAAGGUGGCCUGUGAGGGUUGCUGGAGGUAUCAGAAGUGCGAAUGCUGACAUAAGUAACGAUAAAGCGGGUGAAAAGCCCGCUCGCCGGAAGACCAAGGGUUCCUGUCCAACGUUAAUCGGGGCAGGGUGAGUCGACCCCUAAGGCGAGGCCGAAAGGCGUAGUCGAUGGGAAACGGGUUAAUAUUCCCGUACUUGGUGUUACUGCGAAGGGGGGACGGAGAAGGCUAUGUUGGCCGGGCGACGGUUGUCCCGGUUUAAGCGUGUAGGUGUGUGUUCCAGGUAAAUCCGGUUCACUUUAACACUGAGGCGUGACGACGAGGCACUACGGUGCUGAAGCAACAAAUGCCCUGCUUCCAGGAAAAGCCUCUAAGCAUCAGGUAACAUCAAAUCGUACCCCAAACCGACACAGGUGGUCAGGUAGAGAAUACCAAGGCGCUUGAGAGAACUCGGGUGAAGGAACUAGGCAAAAUGGUGCCGUAACUUCGGGAGAAGGCACGCUGACAC
RNAcentral lists this ribosomal RNA (1081 nucleotides) under Salmonella enterica subsp. enterica serovar Braenderup. Its description in RNAcentral is "partial 23S ribosomal RNA". It matches the Rfam family "Bacterial large subunit ribosomal RNA", at positions 679 to 1757 of the family's 2925-position model. The record is from RNAcentral. Lineage: Bacteria; Pseudomonadati; Pseudomonadota; Gammaproteobacteria; Enterobacterales; Enterobacteriaceae.